AUCCCGCGUCCUUGUGGAGGGAGGGGGGCAUAUGUUGCGAGUUCUUUUCCGUUCUCGGGGAAUUGGGAACGGGUUCGGUUUAUAAUGCCCUGCUCUUUUACGUAUCUCGGAUCGCGGAUUCGAUCGUUUCUUCAGGAUUCCGUUAGGACUCCAAGCUCUCGCAGUUAUCCUCAACUUCCUCAUCGAUCCCAACGAUUGGUUGCGCUGUGGUUGGAUCUCGUGUGGCAUUAUAUAAUGAUCUGCUGCUGAGUAAUCUGGUGGUGGCGCGCUGGUGGCGGCAGCUAGGCUCCUCUUCCUUGCAAUUUUGCUGGAUAUGGCGUGGUUCAUACUUUUCUCGCAAACGAUGUGAUUGAUGAUAUGCUAAGAAGGCCCCUGAAUCAUUGAUAUGUAAAGCAGCGGAGAAUGGAAUUUUGUUCAAAAUCUGGCCCAUCUUUGCCUUCUCUAUAUUUUUGAAUGCAUCCUGGGCUUUAAUGUUACAGCUACCAUUUUUGCCUUCAAGAUUCAUUUUUUUGUGGGUAAAAAAUUUAUCUAAAAAUUUAUAUUUUUCUCAAUAAAUAUUUUUCAGAUAACAUUUAGACGAAAAAAUAAUUUAUCCAUUUUUUAUAUGUAUGAGAAAGUGACUU
This is a long non-coding RNA of Elaeis guineensis (African oil palm), 623 nucleotides long. RefSeq lists it as uncharacterized. The record is from RefSeq and is a predicted model, not a curated record. Lineage: Eukaryota; Viridiplantae; Streptophyta; Magnoliopsida; Arecales; Arecaceae.